RNAcentral lists this ribosomal RNA (858 nucleotides) under uncultured bacterium. RNAcentral describes it as "SSU rRNA". It matches the Rfam family "Bacterial small subunit ribosomal RNA", at positions 524 to 1381 of the family's 1533-position model. The record is from RNAcentral.
UACGUAGGGUGCAAGCGUUGUCCGGAAUUAUUGGGCGUAAAGAGCUCGUAGGCGGUUUGUCGCGUCUGCUGUGAAAACCCGAGGCUCAACCUCGGGCCUGCAGUGGGUACGGGCAAACUAGAGUGUGGUAGGGGAGAUUGGAACUCCUGGUGUAGCGGCGGAAUGCGCAGAUAUCAGGAAGAACACCAAUGGCGAAGGCAGAUCUCUGGGCCAUUACUGACGCUGAGGAGCGAAAGCGUGGGGAGCGAACAGGAUUAGAUACCCUGGUAGUCCACGCCGUAAACGUUGGGAACUAGAUGUAGGGGCCAAUCUACGGCUUCUGUGUCGCAGCUAACGCAUUAAGUUCCCCGCCUGGGGAGUACGGCCGCAAGGCUAAAACUCAAAGGAAUUGACAGGGGCCCGCACAAGCGGCGGAGCAUGCGGAUUAAUUCGAUGCAACGCGAAGAACCUUACCAAGGCUUGACAUAUACAGGAAAAGCGUAGAAAUACGCUCCCCGCAAGGUCUGUAUACAGGUGGUGCAUGGUUGUCGUCAGCUCGUGUCGUGAGAUGUUGGGUUAAGUCCCGCAACGAGCGCAACCCUCGUUCUAUGUUGCCAGCACGUAAUGGUGGGAACUCAUGGAAGACUGCCGGGGUCAACUCGGAGGAAGGUGGGGAUGACGUCAAAUCAUCAUGCCCCUUAUGUCUUGGGCUUCACGCAUGCUACAAUGGCCGGUACAGAGGGCUGCAAUACCGCAAGGUGGAGCGAAUCCCACAAAGCCGGUCUCAGUUCGGAUUGGGGUCUGCAACUCGACCCCAUGAAGUCGGAGUCGCUAGUAAUCGCAGAUCAGCAACGCUGCGGUGAAUACGUUCCCGGGCCU